UACGGCGGCCAUAGCGACAGGGAAACGCCCGGUCCCAUUCCGAACCCGGAAGCUAAGCC
Molecule: ribosomal RNA, 59 nt
Filed under: Rhodococcus ruber
Lineage: Bacteria; Bacillati; Actinomycetota; Actinomycetes; Mycobacteriales; Nocardiaceae
Source: RNAcentral